AGCCUGACACAGUGGCAGUAUUGCUGCCAACGAGGUUAAUCCGAGGCACAGUUAUUGCUAAUUGAAAACUUUUCCUAAUACCCCACAAUGACGACUAGAAAUAUAGUUGGCAUUGGCAAUUUUGCUUUGCAAAAAG
Small nuclear RNA from Euleptes europaea (tarantolino), 136 nucleotides. RefSeq annotates it as U4 spliceosomal RNA. The record is from RefSeq and is a predicted model, not a curated record. The transcript has a single exon. Lineage: Eukaryota; Metazoa; Chordata; Lepidosauria; Squamata; Sphaerodactylidae.